CUAUACUGCAGUCGAGCGAAUCUGAUGGGAGCUUGCUCCCUGAGAUUAGCGGCGGACGGGUGAGUAACACGUGGGCAACCUGCCUAUAAGACUGGGAUAACUUCGGGAAACCGGAGCUAAUACCGGAUACGUUCUUUUCUCGCAUGAGAGAAGAUGGAAAGACGGUUUCGGCUGUCACUUAUAGAUGGGCCCGCGGCGCAUUAACUAGUUGGUGAGGUAAUGGCUCACCAAGGCGACGAUGCGUAACCGACCUGAAAGGGUGAUCGGCCACACUGGGACUGAAACACGGCCCAGACUCCUACGGGAGGCAGCAGUAGGGAAUCUUCCGCAAUGGACGAAAGUCUGACGGAACAACGCCGCGUGAACGAAGAAGGCCUUCGGGUCGUAAAGUUCUGUUGUUAGGGAAGAACAAGUACCAGAGUAACUGCUGGUACCUUGACGGUACCUAACCAGAAAGCCACGGCUAACUACGUGCCAGCAGCCGCGGUAAUACGUAGGUGGCAAGCGUUGUCCGGAAUUAUUGGGCGUAAAGCGCGCGCAGGUGGUUCCUUAAGUCUGAUGUGAAAGCCCACGGCUCAACCGUGGAGGGUCAUUGGAAACUGGGGAACUUGAGUGCAAAAGAAAGUGGAAUUCCAAGUGUACGGUGAAAUGCGUAAGAUUUGGAGGAACACCAGUGGCGAAGCGACUUUCUGGUCUGUAACUGACACUGAGCGCGAAAGCGUGGGGAGCAAACAGGAUUAGAUACCCUGGUAGUCCACGCCGUAAACGAUGAGUGCUAAGUGUUAGAGGGUUUCCGCCCUUUAGUGCUGCAGCUAACGCAUUAAGCACUCCGCCUGGGGAGUACGGCCGCAAGGUGAAACUCAAAGGAAUUGACGGGGCCGCACAAGCGGGGAGCAUGUGGUUUAAUUCGAAGCAACGCGAAACCUUACCGCUUGACAUCCUCUGAACCUAGAGAUGGUCCCUGGGAAGACCAUUCGUCAGCUCGUCU
This 988-nucleotide ribosomal RNA is filed under the name Bacillus sp. BMT2. RNAcentral's name for it is "bacterial SSU rRNA". It matches the Rfam family "Bacterial small subunit ribosomal RNA", at positions 49 to 1065 of the family's 1533-position model. Lineage: Bacteria; Bacillati; Bacillota; Bacilli; Caryophanales; Bacillaceae. The record is from RNAcentral.